RNAcentral lists this ribosomal RNA (468 nucleotides) under uncultured bacterium. RNAcentral's name for it is "partial 16S ribosomal RNA". It matches the Rfam family "Bacterial small subunit ribosomal RNA", at positions 28 to 507 of the family's 1533-position model. The record is from RNAcentral.
GACGAACGCUGGCGGCGUGCUUAACACAUGCAAGUCGAACGGAAAGGCCCUGCUUUUGUGGGGUGCUCGAGUGGCGAACGGGUGAGUAACACGUGAGUAACCUGCCCUUGACUUUGGGAUAACUUCAGGAAAAUGGGGCUAAUACCGGAUAGGAGCUCCUGCUGCAUGGUGGGGGUUGGAAAGUUUCGGCGGUUGGGGAUGGACUCGCGGCUUAUCAGCUUGUUGGUGGGGUAGUGGCUUACCAAGGCUUUGACGGGUAGCCGGCCUGGGAGGGUGACCAGCCACAAUGGGACUGAGAUACGGCCCAGACUCCAACGGGAGGCAACAGUGGGGAAUAUUGCACAAUGGGCGGAAGCCUGAUGCAGCAGCGCCGGGUGCGGGAUGACGGCCUUCGGGUUGUAAACCGCUUUCGCCUGUGACGAAGCGUGAGUGACGGUAAUGGGUAAAGAAGCACCGGCUAACUACGUG